GAAGGGAGAGGGAGAAAAGGGGAGAGAAAAGGUGAAGAGCCUGCGAGGUCAAGCUGCAGAGAACAUGAGCUUCUACCUCCAGAUGUGCCAGGGUGCAUCUC
This 101-nucleotide long non-coding RNA is filed under the name Pan troglodytes (chimpanzee). Its description in RNAcentral is "lincRNA". The record is from RNAcentral. Lineage: Eukaryota; Metazoa; Chordata; Mammalia; Primates; Hominidae. RNAcentral also lists the same sequence under 1 other name.